RNAcentral lists this ribosomal RNA (440 nucleotides) under uncultured bacterium. RNAcentral describes it as "partial 16S ribosomal RNA". It matches the Rfam family "Bacterial small subunit ribosomal RNA", at positions 338 to 795 of the family's 1533-position model. The record is from RNAcentral.
CCUACGGGUGGCUGCAGUGGGGAAUAUUGCACAAUGGGGGAAACCCUGAUGCAGCGACGCCGCGUGAGUGAAGAAGUAUCUCGGUACGUAAAGCUCUAUCAGCAGGGAAGAAAAUGACGGUACCUGACUAAGAAGCCCCGGCUAACUACGUGCCAGCAGCCGCGGUAAUACGUAGGGGGCAAGCGUUAUCCGGAUUUACUGGGUGUAAAGGGAGCGUAGACGGCAGGACAAGUCUGGAGUGAAAUCCCGGGGCUUAAUCCCGGAACUGCGGUUGAAACUGGGCGGCUGGAGUUCAGGAGGGGUAAGCGGAAUUCCUAGUGUAGCGGUGAAAUGCGUAGAUAUUAGGAGGAACACCGGUGGCGAAGGCGGCUGACUGGACUGUAACUGACGUUGAGGCUCGAAAGCGUGGGGAGCAAACAGGAUUAGAUACCCCAGUAGUC